Molecule: non-coding RNA, 50 nt
Filed under: Trypanosoma lewisi
Lineage: Eukaryota; Euglenozoa; Kinetoplastea; Trypanosomatida; Trypanosomatidae
Source: RNAcentral
AAAUAUAACAUGUGUAGAGUGUGAUAGAUUAAUUAGAGAUAAGAUAGAAC